Molecule: ribosomal RNA, 885 nt
Filed under: Triticum aestivum (bread wheat)
Lineage: Eukaryota; Viridiplantae; Streptophyta; Magnoliopsida; Poales; Poaceae
Description: partial small subunit ribosomal RNA
Source: RNAcentral
AUGUGCCAGAACCUGACUUUUAUUUCGUCUAACUUUUGGUGGGGAGAAGCUAAUGGGAAGAGGAGGGUGCACUGGCUUGCAUGGAAAAAGAUGUGUAGGGCGAAGCGAGAAGGAGGAAUGGGCUUUCGGGAUCCAGAGGCGUUUAACCAAGCUCUGCUUGCCAAACAAGCUUGGCGAGUGCUGCAGUGCCCAGGUUCAUUGUGUGCUAGGGUGCUCAAGCCAAGGUAUUCCCCCCAGGGAUCGAUUUUGAAUGCCACUUGCCCUACGUGUGGCUCGUUCACUUUCAGAAGCAUUAUACAUGGGCGUGAGCUACUGCGUGAAGGAUUAGUGUGGAGGAUUGGGGAUGGCACAUCCAUAAAAAUCCACCAUGACAACUGGCUCCCGCGCCAGGGCAGCCUUAAGCCACUUGGGCAGCAGCACAUUGCAGGUAUCACUCAUGUGCGCCACCUCCUGGAUGAAUCAGGUGUUGCGUGGGCCAUGAACAAAGUGGAGAGGAUGUUUACUCCCGGGGAUGCUGAGGAUACAAAGCAUGUUGUGAUUGGCGGACCGAACAUGAGGGACUACAUGGCGUGGAACUUCACCAACAAUGGACUAUUUUCAGUCAAGUCGGCAUAUCACCUAUGUAUGAGUUUAAGUGGCGUCAAGACCGGACAGCCAGGUUCUUCGAUGCCAAGCAGGGAGCAUAAAUCGUGGCUGGCUCUGUGGGACACUAAUGCUCCGGGGAAGGCGAAGAUUCAUGCAUGGCGAGUGUUGAAGAACGGGCUGGCUGUCGGCACGGAGCUGCAUAGGCGUCGGAUAAAGCCGGGAGUGAUCUGUUGCGCCUGUUGUCGCGAGGAGACCACGUACCACCGAUUCUGGGCGUGCCCCCAUUCAGUGCUGUUUUGA